UGGGGGAAUUUCCGCAAUGGGCGAAAGCCUGACGGAGCAAUGCCGCGUGGAGGUGGAAGGCCUACGGGUCGUCAACUUCUUUUCUCGGAGAAGAAACAAUGACGGUAUCUGAGGAAUAAGCAUCGGCUAACUCUGUGCCAG
This 141-nucleotide ribosomal RNA is filed under the name uncultured bacterium. RNAcentral's name for it is "partial 16S rRNA". It matches the Rfam family "Bacterial small subunit ribosomal RNA", at positions 355 to 511 of the family's 1533-position model. The record is from RNAcentral.